This 253-nucleotide ribosomal RNA is filed under the name uncultured bacterium. RNAcentral's name for it is "partial 16S ribosomal RNA". It matches the Rfam family "Bacterial small subunit ribosomal RNA", at positions 524 to 776 of the family's 1533-position model. The record is from RNAcentral.
UACGAAGGGGGCUAGCGUUGCUCGGAAUCACUGGGCGUAAAGCGCACGUAGGCGGACUCUUAAGUCGGGGGUGAAAGCCCAGGGCUCAACCCUGGAAUUGCCUUCGAUACUGGGAGUCUUGAGUAUGGCAGAGGUUGGUGGAACUGCGAGUGUAGAGGUGAAAUUCGUAGAUAUUCGCAAGAACACCAGUGGCGAAGGCGGCUCACUGGCCCGGUACUGACGCUGAGGUGCGAAAGCGUGGGGAGCAAACAGG